GGGAGUUGAGCUGGGGAAAGGGCUGGGAAACUUACCUUUCAGCAGGUGAUGUCAACUUUCACUUAAAUACGCUCCUUUCACUAGGAUGCCUCGCCCUGCCCUCAGCAGUACCUGAUGUUCCUGAAAGAGAACUGGUCUGGUUCAGCUUCUCUUGAGGGUAAAUCUGCUUCUCAGGCUCAAAGAGGGGCUUUGGAGUGUCCAGAUGCUUCUUUAAGAUGGAGGAAAACUGCAGCCAAUGCAGAGGUUUCAAUUUUAGGAGAUACUUGGGAGAAAUGAGAGAUACGGAAACGCUUUGUUCUGUCACUAUCCUGUUAGCUGGGUGCCGACCGGAACACUUGGCAUCAUGGGCGAUGGGUAGACUUUGACCAGCCCCAAGCGCCCGCCAGGUGCAAAUAUGCCAAAGGGACUUCUCCAGCCAGAAGAUUCCCCUGAAUGAAGGCUGAAGAUUUCCAAAGUACUGGUCCCUCUGAAAUCUGCCUGAGGCAACUUGAACUUGGAUGAAUGGCCAUUAAACAUGCUGAUGCUGAACAAGGCUGCACAGAGUCCAGUGACUUCUCUGCUGAUUGGCCUCACAGACGAAAUAAUCCCCAUGGACCCAAACGAUGCCAAACAUGUUGGCGAUGUGGAUGGCUCUGUCUCCAGCAACUGGACCUAUGGUUCUUCAAAAAACAGCACGAGAAGUUAUACACCUGCCUAUCUCAGCAGAAGGAUGCAGGUGGGAGGCUCUAGACGCGCAGUUUUCAAAUCCCUGCUACUUACUAGCUAUGUGGUUUGGGAAAGUUGCAGAAACCUCUCUGUGUUCCUUCGUGUAUCACAAUGGGGAUAAUAACGACCACCUCAUAUACGAGGACGUUCAUAUCAAGCACUUGAUGUACAAUGACUCAGCUUAGUCAUGACUCAACAGUGCUAGCUGUACUUCAUUCCCAUCAAAUAAAACAAUAAGCACUUAAACA
Long non-coding RNA from Bos indicus x Bos taurus (hybrid cattle), 953 nucleotides. The record is from Ensembl. NCBI's taxonomy places the organism in Eukaryota, Metazoa, Chordata, Mammalia, Artiodactyla, Bovidae.